Molecule: transfer RNA, 65 nt
Filed under: Togoperla sp. KW-2014
Lineage: Eukaryota; Metazoa; Arthropoda; Insecta; Plecoptera; Perlidae
Description: tRNA-Ala
Rfam family: tRNA
About the family: Transfer RNA (tRNA) molecules are approximately 80 nucleotides in length. Their secondary structure includes four short double-helical elements and three loops (D, anti-codon, and T loops).
Source: RNAcentral
AGGACUGUAGUUAAGUAUAACAUUUGGUUUGCAUCUAAAAAGUAUUGAUUAAUCAAUCUGUCUUA